GGAGGAGUAACACUGUACAAAUCAGGGUUCUGUUCAAAGAAAAACAACCUCAGUAAACCAGGGCCCUUACAACAAGAUCAGGAAUGCCAACUGCAGCAAUCAGAAGAAAGUGAAGUUGUUCAUAAACAAAUUCCAGAUCAGAUCCGCAUAAAUUUGAUAACAAACCAACAAUAUUUCGCACAGGAUUAAAUACCUCACCUCAGCCUGUUGAGCAGAGAUCAGACAGUGAAGAUGUGACAGCUGGUGUUUUCGAAGCAGAAUGAGAAGGCUGUUAAGCCCAUGAAAUAUCAUCCACUCACUCAUUACCCAUAACCACUUAUCCUAAGGUAGGGUUCCUACAGUCUACUCAACUGACCAGGCUACUCCAUGUUCACCCUGGACAGGAUGACAGUCCAUCACAGGACAGUGACACACGCACAAAGUGCAAUUAAGUGUCACCAAUCUACCCGAAGCAUGUUUUCGGACUGUGGGAGGAAACCUGAGCACCUGCAGGAAACCCACACAAACAUGGGGAGAACAUGCAAACUCCAAGAGUGAACUAAGCAAACCUACAUCACGUUGUUCAGUCCAGGUGCUGGAAGUUGUACCUGCUGACACCCUCUUCUGAAGUAUUAUUUUGUGAAAUGUUUUUCUGGAGUUUUUAUAAAUUGCUUCACAUAGAGUUUUUUAAGAAUUUUGCAACAUAUGAAUCAUGGAACACAAUACUGUAGACAAAUGGAAUUAGAGAAAUGGGAUUAAUUCCAGUUACAUAAUUAUGGAUGACACAUGUAUGGAGAUUAACGGUUUCAAGUUAGAAAAUGCCAAUUAGAAGUUCUUCAGAAUCUUUGAAAAGCAUAAUUAAUGGAAAUACCAUGACUUAUGACCGAACUAGUCACGUGACAUCAUCUUGGGACAAAGUUUAACACCAUCUGUAGCACAGUCACUGGCACAUGCAGUUUUAUACUCUACAAAUCACCUGAAAUGCAUGUCUUUGGGCAGAAACCAACAUGAAUGUAGAGAGAACAUGCAAAGUGAACAGGUUGAGCUGGACUGAUACCCCCAUCCAAAUGUAGAGGUGAGGCAGUAAUGCCCUUUUUUUUAAAAAAAUUAGGACAACUCGUGGUCUCAUAGAUUGAGUUAUGUCUGAAGGAUCUAGGCUCAGAUCCCUGUGUCUGCCAUUAUCCUGAACUGUUACAGUAAAAAAACUACCCGGAAUUAAUGGUAUAUCAGUGUAAAAAGAUGUAGAGAAAAACAGGAGUGAGUCCUCAUUGACUAGUUUCACCUGUUAUACCUCUGUGAUCAUGUCCCCAUUUUGACUGUCCAAAACAUGUCAAGUUGU
Molecule: long non-coding RNA, 1318 nt
Organism: Scleropages formosus (Asian bonytongue)
Lineage: Eukaryota; Metazoa; Chordata; Actinopteri; Osteoglossiformes; Osteoglossidae
Exons: 4
Source: RefSeq, a predicted model, not a curated record